ACAUUGUGCACAUGUACCCUAAAACUUAAAGUAUAAUAAUAAUUAAAAAAAAAAAAAGAUAACAGGAACCCAGAUUUACGGGGAAAAAACCACACACCAAAUUUCACAAAACUUAGAAAAUGCUACAUAAGGUUCCUCAGGAAGACAACUCUUAGAAUAAGUCAUAAUCCUACUUUUUGCCCAGAGUUUUUUACUAAUUCUACCUGGUAUAAACAGAGUAAGUAGUCAAUAGUCUAUAUAUAAUCUUUUUUUUUUUUUUUUGCUAUUAUCUGGAUAAAAGUUACAAUAUAUGUGUUGGACAUUACAGAGGAUAUAUCUUGCUAUCUGGCAUCCAAUUCAACCUCCUGAUUAUGUAAAAAAAAAAAAAAAAAAAAAAAAAAGCAACCCCAAAUUCUUCAGGUGAACCACCUCAUCUCAAACUCUCAUAGGUUUUUGGGUAAUGUUGACCCCACCCUCAGGUUUAGGGGUGGGCUCUACUGUCCAGUCAUCAGCAUAUCCCAUUGUUCUGGUCAUUGAGAUUAGCUCUAGAAUAAGCACAGGACCCAACCCAGGCUAGUUUGAAUCAGGCCAGGAGUGUCUUAUUGGUGGGAGGAAAUUUCUCUAUAUCUGCUACUCUUAAUGUUGAGACUUAAGGCCUGGAGGUGCUGCAGCCAUCUUAUAACCAUUAAGGGGCAGCCUGUUCUAAGAAGCCAAAAUAAUAGAAAAGAACAGAGACUGGCGAGAAGAAGAGAAGCAGGGACAUGAAGUGACAGUUUGAAACGUUGCAUCCUGACACAUCUGAAGACAUCCCUCAUGUGCAGACUUUUCAGUAAUGUAAAGUGGAAAGUGGGCAAGGCCAAGGUCAUGCUACAGAAUGUGACUGAGCAACAGGGGGAUCACUUCAGCUGGGAUGGGAAAGGAAAGCCUCCAGGAGGAGUUGACAUCGAAUCACAGUUGAAUCCUAAGAAGUCAGUCUUGCAAAGAUCUAGGAAAGAAACAGCUAAGUUUCUAAGGCUGGAGUGCAAUGGCGCGAUCUCGGCUCUCUGCAA
This 1028-nucleotide long non-coding RNA is filed under the name Homo sapiens (human). Its description in RNAcentral is "HSALNT0377806". The record is from RNAcentral. Lineage: Eukaryota; Metazoa; Chordata; Mammalia; Primates; Hominidae.